AUGUAGUUCAGUAGUAGAACUCUUGCCAUUCAAGAGGCCCUGGGUUCAAUCCCCAGCAU
Molecule: transfer RNA, 59 nt
Filed under: Mesocricetus auratus (golden hamster)
Lineage: Eukaryota; Metazoa; Chordata; Mammalia; Rodentia; Cricetidae
Rfam family: tRNA
About the family: Transfer RNA (tRNA) molecules are approximately 80 nucleotides in length. Their secondary structure includes four short double-helical elements and three loops (D, anti-codon, and T loops).
Source: Rfam by way of RNAcentral